CUCUGAAGCAAGAAUGACCCAAAAUACACGUUCCAGGAGCCCUUUCAUUUUGCAGCACCGCCCGCAGCACCUGCCCGGUGGUGUCCUCCAUCACUUCGCGAGUGAAUGAGGACCCACCUCAAGGGGGAAAAGAUCUACUUCAUCUGCCAGAGAAACAUGUCUGGAAUGGAACAAGCCUGCCAGUAGUCAGAGAGUAUAUCCAGGGAAUGGCCCCUGAGCAGCACAGCUCGUGGUCAAGCCUCCAGGAUUAACAGUCUUAUGAAACAAACAGCAUCUGGUAUUUAGUAGAGAGCAGCAUCAUUGUGUUAUGACGGCUACCGACAACUUCCCCCUCCUUACACCUGGCUCCGGGCGGGGCUGCGGGGCUGUGGGUCACAGGCCAUCUCUGAUGCAGCCCAGGGGAAUUGCAAAUGCCUACAUGUCCCGGUUUGGGUGAGUCUUGGCCCUAUGGGGAGCCCUGGGGUCCCUCCUGAGCUUCUCACCUUGAAGGCUCUCCAGUAGGAACUGAGAACAUGUGUCAGCCUCUCAAGGGCUCAGUGUUGGUGGCUGGUUUUAUACCCCCUCCCUCUGCCUCCCUCCCACCCGAUCAUGAGAUGCCAGGGCAGCUGUGUUUUGCAAUGCAGAGCCCAGGAUGUGGAAGCCAAGGAAACCACAACAGAAGUGUGAGCAAUUAAGAAAAAGGGAACUCUAUUGAGAAAUGAUUUCAUCUGAAUUGGUGAGAAUGAGGACGCGGCAGCAGCCCAGCACUGAGUCACAGGAGUGGAAAAAUCCAGUAGGAGGUUGUGGGGGAAGAUGGAGAGAAAAUGCCAGUGACACUUUCAGCAGAAUGACUGAAAGAGGGAAGUGAGGGCGUCCUUGAGCCCCACUGCUUCUGUGCUGGUCUCAUGCUUGGAGCACCAACCCCAGGAAGACUGGUCCCUAUGGGCCAUGGGUCACGGGGGACCCUGAGGCUCCUGAUGAAGGGUCAGCCUCCUUUUCCCUCGCGUGGGUGUCCUCCUCCAUGGCCGCUACAGCGCAGGCAGAGUGAAGAGUCCUGGGCUGGGAAUCCCCUACUUCCCUCUGUCACUCUUCCCUCUUCCCCAUGACAAAGCAUGACAAGGGCAAGAUUUGCAAGGGCAAAGGGGUGGCCCUCCACAGUCCUGUUUCAGCUCCCCCCAGAGCAGAAUGAAAGCCUCCAUCCUAUUCCUGACCAGAAACGGUGGCUGGAGGCUGCUUCCUGUGUUUUGGGUGGCAAUUAGUAAGCUGGCACUGCGGGGACCAGAGCACCUCCCAGCCUGCCCUUCCUGUGGGCUCCUGCCACCCAUCUUCUGCCCCAGCUGAGCUCCCCAAGGCCUGGUACUCCCAUCUAAAAAUGGCAGCCCUUCCCCACAGUCCUCGCUACAAUGCCUGGGAACUGCUGGGGCCAGGCCAGCAGAUGACUGAGGAGCUCAGGACACAGCAGGCCCUGAGCAGGGCCGGGCAGGACACACGGCUCCCACUGAACCGGGCCUUCAUGCCAGAACACGCCAGAAGCACAGCCUCCUAACUUCGCCCCACCUGUGGCUUGUUGGGGACACACACGUCAUGCCCUGAAGCGUUCCGGAACCGGUAGGGGCUGCCUGUCCUGCCACUCACCCACUCCAGCUAGGAACUCCUCAGUGGGCAAGAUAAUUGGGCCCAGGUUGAGUUAUGACGUUCACAGGUGAUUUUGAUGGACGCUGACUUUCAGAGCUCAUUGCCCUAAAGACUCCUGGCCUAAGAGUGAGGAAGUCUGAGGAAUCUGGUUUCAGCUCCACUGAUAUCUAACCGCACGUACACCAGGUCCUGCAGAUGACAACCUCUGGUGGAACGGAGUGAUGCUG
RNAcentral lists this long non-coding RNA (1841 nucleotides) under Homo sapiens (human). Its description in RNAcentral is "HSALNT0169898". The record is from RNAcentral. Lineage: Eukaryota; Metazoa; Chordata; Mammalia; Primates; Hominidae.